AGACCAUGAUGUGGGCAUUAACUGAGCAUAUGUUUGAAAAUAUCCCAUGCUUCGAAUAAUGAUUCUAAAUGUGUUUGUUUGAAGCUUGCUAUAAGAUUUCUCAUAU
Molecule: small nucleolar RNA, 106 nt
Organism: Zingiber officinale
Lineage: Eukaryota; Viridiplantae; Streptophyta; Magnoliopsida; Zingiberales; Zingiberaceae
Source: RefSeq, a predicted model, not a curated record